This 253-nucleotide ribosomal RNA is filed under the name uncultured bacterium. RNAcentral's name for it is "partial 16S ribosomal RNA". It matches the Rfam family "Bacterial small subunit ribosomal RNA", at positions 524 to 776 of the family's 1533-position model. The record is from RNAcentral.
UACGAAGGGGGCUAGCGCUGCUCGGAUUGACUGGGCGUAAAGGGCGCGUAGGCGGUUCGUACAGUCAGACGUGAAAUUCCUGGGCUCAACCUGGGGGCUGCGUUUGAUACGUGCGGACUUGAGUGCGGAAGAGGGUCGUGGAAUUCCCAGUGUAGAGGUGAAAUUCGUAGAUAUUGGGAAGAACACCGGUGGCGAAGGCGGCGACCUGGUCCGAUACUGACGCUGAGGCGCGAAAGCGUGGGGAGCAAACAGG